This 240-nucleotide unclassified non-coding RNA is filed under the name soil metagenome. Its description in RNAcentral is "partial contains 5.8S ribosomal RNA, internal transcribed spacer 2, and large subunit ribosomal RNA". The record is from RNAcentral.
AACCUUAUGGACCUGCGGGCGUAUACCUGCGGAGGGAUCAUUAUUGAAUUUAAUGUGGAGUUGGUUGUAGCUGGCUUGACUGAUUUUUUUAAAAAAAGAUUUCAGGCAUGUGCACACCUUCUCUUUCAUCCAUACACCCCUGUGCACUUGUGAGACAGAUUUUGGGGGAAGGGUAACUUCAUUGAGACCCCUCUCCCUGUCUGUCUACUUAAUUCACACAAACUCAAUUUAUUUUAAAAU